GAUGAACGCUGGCGGCGUGCCUAAUACAUGCAAGUCGAGCGAACGGACGAGAAGUUUGCUUCUCUGAUGUUAGCGGCGGACGGGUGAGUAACACGUGGAUAACCUACCUAUAAGACUGGGAUAACUUCGGGAAACCGGAGCUAAUACCGGAUGAUAUUUUGAACCGCAUGGUUCAAAAGUGAAAGACGGUUUUGCUGUCACUUAUAGAUGGAUCCGCGCGGCAUUAGCUAGUUGGUAAGGUAACGGCUUACCAAGGCAACGAUGCAUAGCCGACCUGAGAGGGUGAUCGGCCACACUGGAACUGAGACACGGUCCAGACUCCUACGGGAGGCAGCGGUAGGGAAUCUUCGGAAAUGGGCGAAAGCCUGACGGAGCAACGCCGCGUGAGUGAUGAAGGUCUUCGGAUCGUAAGACUCUGUUAUUGGGGAAGAACAUAUGUGUAAGUAACUGUGCACAUCUUGACGGUACCUAAUCAGAAAGCCACGGCUAACUACGUG
This 497-nucleotide ribosomal RNA is filed under the name uncultured bacterium. RNAcentral's name for it is "partial 16S ribosomal RNA". It matches the Rfam family "Bacterial small subunit ribosomal RNA", at positions 28 to 507 of the family's 1533-position model. The record is from RNAcentral.